GAUGAACGCUAGCUACAGGCUUAACACAUGCAAGUCGAGGGGAAACGAUAGAGAAAGCUUGCUUUUUCUAGGCGUCGACCGGCGCACGGGUGAGUAACGCGUAUCCAACCUGCCCAUCACUUGGGGAUAACCUUGCGAAAGUAAGACUAAUACCCAAUGAUAUCUCUAGAAGACAUCUGAAAGAGAUUAAAGAUUUAUCGGUGAUGGAUGGGGAUGCGUCUGAUUAGCUUGUUGGCGGGGUAACGGCCCACCAAGGCGACGAUCAGUAGGGGUUCUGAGAGGAAGGUCCCCCACAUUGGAACUGAGACACGGUCCAAACUCCUACGGGAGGCAGCAGUGAGGAAUAUUGGUCAAUGGACGAGAGUCUGAACCAGCCAAGUAGCGUGAAGGAUGAAGGUCCUACGGAUUGUAAACUUCUUUUANAAGGGAAUAAACCCUCCCACGUGUGGGAGCUUGUAUGUACCUUAUGAAUAAGCAUCGGCUAACUCCGUGCCAGCAGCCGACGG
Molecule: ribosomal RNA, 506 nt
Filed under: uncultured bacterium
Lineage: Bacteria
Description: bacterial SSU rRNA
Rfam family: Bacterial small subunit ribosomal RNA
Source: RNAcentral